CCUACGGGAGGCAGCAGUGGGGAAUUUUGGACAAUGGGGGCAACCCUGAUCCAGCAAUGCCGCGUGUGUGAAGAAGGCCUUCGGGUUGUAAAGCACUUUUGUCCGGAAAGAAAUCCCCUGGGAUAAUACCUCGGGGGGAUGACGGUACCGGAAGAAUAAGCACCGGCUAACUACGUGCCAGCAGCCGCGGUAAUACGUAGGGUGCGAGCGUUAAUCGGAAUUACUGGGCGUAAAGCGUGCGCAGGCGGUUUUGUAAGACAGGCGUGAAAUCCCCGAGCUCAACUUGGGAAUGGCGCUUGUGACUGCAAGGCUAGAGUAUGUCAGAGGGGGGUAGAAUUCCACGUGUAGCAGUGAAAUGCGUAGAGAUGUGGAGGAAUACCGAUGGCGAAGGCAGCCCCCUGGGACGUCACUGACGCUCAUGCACGAAAGCGUGGGGAGCAAACAGGAUUAGAUACCCUGGUAGUCCACGCCCUAAACGAUGUCAACUAGUUGUU
RNAcentral lists this ribosomal RNA (494 nucleotides) under uncultured bacterium. RNAcentral's name for it is "bacterial SSU rRNA". It matches the Rfam family "Bacterial small subunit ribosomal RNA", at positions 338 to 824 of the family's 1533-position model. The record is from RNAcentral.